GCAGUGGCAUUAUUGUCCUGAUCUUUUUUCCGUUUGGAAGAUAUAGGAGCGAAACAAUCAACCUAUUGAUAUUGGAAGACCCAACAGAUUCUUCCAAUGUAUCAUUUCUGGGUCCAAUGGAAUUCAUAGGUAUAGAAAGAAGCCCUCUCAAAUAGAGAUUUUUUCUUUCGACCAUAUUUCGAUUGUUAAUACGAUAUACAAGGACUGCUACUACAAAGAGUAUUACACCCUUGAUCGUGAAAUAUCGAUUGCUUGUUGACUCCUGUGAAUUGCGUGAAAGUAGAAUGCUCCAAAUUCGGAGGUCAAAAUAGUUUUAGAAAAUGUUCUUGGUGGAAAAAAAAUGUUAAUGAAAGAUCCAACUGAAUGAAAUUGGGUCCAUGAAUCUAAGAAAUAGUGAGAAUUCUUAAUCUCUCUCAAUAUCUCUCACCCUCUUAUUUCCACUUUAGAACAUCUCAUUUGAACGUGAAACUUGUCGGCUUAUCAAGUAUCACUGUAUGUCUUUCCUUUUAAGAAUUGUUAGUCAUGUUUCUAAUUUAUUUGAGAUGGUUCAUUAUGAUUUAUGGGGAUCAA
Molecule: long non-coding RNA, 570 nt
Filed under: Olea europaea subsp. europaea
Lineage: Eukaryota; Viridiplantae; Streptophyta; Magnoliopsida; Lamiales; Oleaceae
Source: RNAcentral